UACGUAGGGCGCAAGCGUUGUCCGGAAUUAUUGGGCGUAAAGAGCUCGUAGGCGGCUUGUCACGUCGGGUGUGAAAGCCCGGGGCUUAACCCCGGGUCUGCAUUCGAUACGGGCAGGCUAGAGUGUGGUAGGGGAGAUCGGAAUUCCUGGUGUAGCGGUGAAAUGCGCAGAUAUCAGGAGGAACACCGAUGGCGAAGGCAGGUCUCUGGGCCACUACUGACGCUGAGAAGCGAAAGCAUGGGGAGCGAACAGG
RNAcentral lists this ribosomal RNA (253 nucleotides) under uncultured bacterium. RNAcentral describes it as "partial 16S ribosomal RNA". It matches the Rfam family "Bacterial small subunit ribosomal RNA", at positions 524 to 776 of the family's 1533-position model. The record is from RNAcentral.